GAAAAAAGAAAAAAAAAUCUUCCUGUUCUAUUUAAAGAUCUGGGAAAACCAGUUUUUUGUUCAUAGUUCUCAGUGUACCCCAGCAGGAUGAAUGGUGUCCUCCUUGUCCAGCACUGUGAGCAGUUGCAGAGAAGAGCCAUCUGCAUUGCUGAUGUCCAAGUCUGACAUUCAAAGUGCUGUAUCUCCACGGCCCCACCGCCACCCCUCCCCUCCCACCACUGCUUUGGCCGCAGCUUUGGUCCAGCCCGGUCCCGGUUCCGAGCCGCUGUCCGGCCACAGCCGCCAUCCCCGUACCCCGUCACGCCGCCUCCGCCGCCACCGGGUCUAUACACAGCAGGCGAACACUGCAGCGCCUUGCGUGUAUCCUUCCGCGUCUCUGCCUCUGCCGGAACUUGAUGUGGCAUGGCCGUAUCACCGAGAGAUCCCUCCGCAGUGUGCGACUCUCCCCAACCGAUACCUGGUGUUCCUCCGCGCUGUGGCCUUCCCCACUCCUAGCACCGAGUGGGACUACUUUGUGUCACGAUUCGUCUGCACAGCCACAUGUGAAAGACGCCAAUCACUCGUUUUUAAAAAUUUUUUAAAAUUAAAAUACUAUAGUAUUUUAAUUUUAAAAAAAUUUUAAAAACGAGUAUAGUAUUUCUAUAACUAUUUUAAUAGUAUUAAAAUGGUUAUAGAAAUAGUCAUACAAUUAGAGUAAUAAUAAUUUGAACAGUUUGAAUUAGGACAGUAUGAGACAAAAGCCACUCCUCCAAAUUCAGCCAUAAAUCCCCCCAAACCAACCCCAGAAUCCCUCCAAAAUCAACCCCCAGAUCCCCCCCCAAACAGAGCCACAAAUCCCCCCAUAAAACAACCAAAAAUCCCCCAUAAAUUCAGCCAUAAAUUCCCCCCAAACCAACGCCCAGAUCACCCCAAAUCAAACCAUAAAUUCCCCCCAAAUUCACCCAUAAAUUGAAACUAAUUUACAGCAAAUUGUAAGACAUUGGAGUGAAUUUUCCAAGAGCUAGUUCUUCAGUGCACAGAAGGCAAUUCCACCUGAAAGAUAA
Molecule: long non-coding RNA, 1043 nt
Organism: Zonotrichia leucophrys gambelii
Lineage: Eukaryota; Metazoa; Chordata; Aves; Passeriformes; Passerellidae
Exons: 3
Source: RefSeq, a predicted model, not a curated record